Molecule: long non-coding RNA, 208 nt
Filed under: Mytilus galloprovincialis (Mediterranean mussel)
Lineage: Eukaryota; Metazoa; Mollusca; Bivalvia; Mytilida; Mytilidae
Source: RNAcentral
CAGAUGGUACAGAUGUUCUCUGGUUCAUCACAGAUAUAUUUGGACAAUGUUUAAAGAAUACUAUCAUUGCUGACCAACAUAAUUUAGCCAUAUCUGACUUUAGUUUAUUUUAUUAAAUUUGAUAUACAUGUAUGUAUCAACAUGUCCUCUCAUUCUAGAAAUAAAGUUUUGAAAUAAGCUUAAUUUCAUGAGUACUAGAACACACCCG